Molecule: ribosomal RNA, 383 nt
Filed under: uncultured bacterium
Lineage: Bacteria
Description: bacterial SSU rRNA
Rfam family: Bacterial small subunit ribosomal RNA
Source: RNAcentral
AAUCAACGCUGGCGGCGCGCUUAACACAUGCAAGUCGCACGAGAAAGUGGAGCAAUCCAUGAGUACAGUGGCGUACGGGUGAGUAACACGUGGGUAAUCUACCUCUUAGUGGGGAAUAACUCUGGGAAACCGGAGCUAAUACCGCAUAAGCCUGGAAAGGGAAAGCAAUCAAAUGCGCUGAGAGAGGAGCCCGCGGCCGAUUAGCUAGUUGGUAGGGUAAAAGCCUACCAAGGCAAUGAUCGGUAGCCGGCCUGAGAGGGCACACGGCCACACUGGCACUGAAACACGGGCCAGACUCCUACGGGAGGCAGCAGUGGGGAAUCUUGCACAAUGGGGGCAACCCUGAUGCAGCGACGCCGCGUGAGCGAUGAAGCCCUUCGGGU